Long non-coding RNA from Podarcis raffonei (Aeolian wall lizard), 526 nucleotides. RefSeq lists it as uncharacterized. Lineage: Eukaryota; Metazoa; Chordata; Lepidosauria; Squamata; Lacertidae. The record is from RefSeq and is a predicted model, not a curated record. The transcript is spliced from 2 exons.
GGACAGUCCGGGAAUCAGCGUGUUUUACGUGAGCAGAAUGUGUCCCUUUAUUUAAAAUGCAUCUCUGGGUUAUUUGUGGGGCCUGCCUGGUGUUUUUACAUGAGUAGAAUGUGUGUUUUUAUUUAAAGUGUAUCUCUGGGUUAUUUGUGGGGCAUAGGAAUUUGUUCAUUUUUUUCUUCAAAAUAUAGUCCGGCCCACCACAUGGUCUGAGGGAUGGUGGACCGGCCCACGGCUGAAAAAGGUUGCUGACCCCUGUCCUAGAAGUGACAAUGGCACUCACCUGAGAGGUGCCGGAACUGAGUUGCGGUUGUGAACCACCCUGUGGUCUUCAGAUGAAGGGUAGUAUACAAAUUAAAUUGAUGGUGGUAACAAUAACAACAACAAAGUGAGUUAGAAAAACAAAAAAUCAUCUUUGCACUGUACCCUACCCUACCAGCAGCCUAUGGAGGAGCACCUCACCAAGGGAAAUAGGGUGUGUGGCACAGUGACAGACAGCACCCAGGGAAACAUCACAACACACAUUUUU